Long non-coding RNA from Betta splendens (Siamese fighting fish), 1493 nucleotides. RefSeq lists it as uncharacterized. The transcript has 2 exons. The record is from RefSeq and is a predicted model, not a curated record. Lineage: Eukaryota; Metazoa; Chordata; Actinopteri; Anabantiformes; Osphronemidae.
CAGUCGUCCAAACUCCGCCCACAGCAACAGCCAUUCAAAACACAGCCCCUCCACUUUCAAUGGUCUGAGUUCCCACCAAUCACAGCAGACCAUGUCCCCCCUGCGGCUCCCGGGUCGUUAGCCAAUCACUGUGCACUUUACGCCACACAUGACUCUGUGCUGCUGUCCGUCAACUGCCUGAUAUAUAGUGCAUGCAGGGAAACGUGGAACAGUUCAAUAACUUGUGCCGUAGCCAGGACGUGUGUGUGUGUGUGUGUGUGUGUGUGUGUGUGUGUGUGUGUGUGUGUGUGUGUGUGUGUGUGUGUGUGUGUGUGUGUGUGUGUGUGUGUGUGUGUGUGUGUGUGUGAGUGAGUGAGUGAGUGGGGGGGUUGCAUGCACGGGAGAAUGUGUGUGCUUGUUUAUCUACGUAGAAGUACGGAAGGAGAGAGAGGGAGGGAUGGCGACAGACAGGAAAAGAGGGAGAGAGAGAUUUGUAAGGCUUGUGUUUGCACACUCCUGGACGAGUUCCCACUAGAGGCAGAGAGAUCAGACUGAAAGACUGUUUGUCAGGAGUGUGUGUUUCUGGGAGACACACAGAGAAGCGGGCAGACAGAAGAAGAGAGGAACCCGUUCAACCCAUUUCAGCAGCAACUUUUGAGAGCAACUCGCCCUGAAUAUGGAGGCUUUUCACUGUCCUCUGCACGACUCCUUCUCCGUCCUGCGACUUCUCACUUGACGGUUAUGUUGCCGCUCUUUUGGUCACACUUGAGGUAGAAGAUGCGAUGUGGCAGCUCGGCUCAGACACACUGCUUCUUUAGCACCUCUGCUGCUUCUGGUUCCUGCUGGCCCUUCAUCAUCUGAGCCGCCGCUGACACGACUGGCACCACAUUCUGGGCCAAAAGACAACACAACCACAGCACUAGAUAGUCACAUUUAGCUUCUAUUCCUUGGCGUUUUCUAUCUGUUUAUCUUGGACAUGUGUUUUCAAUGGGAGCCAGUAAGCGAAGCACAGGCAACUGGUUCUGUUGGUGAAACACCUCCUGGUGCCCACAGUGAACAUUCAACGCUGUCGGUGAGUUUGAGCCCAAACCAAACCAUCGACCGUUGACUGUACCCUGAGGGACGCCACAGCCAGAACCGAAGGAGGACGGUUCAGCUCUGCUCCUGCUCCACGGCCUGGGAACCAUCACACCUGGACCAACGUCAACACAUCCCACCCCGCAGAGACGUUCACCAUUAAGGCUGCAAUAAACAUUCAUUGCUGUCGGUGGGUUUACCUGAGAAUAACUCACUGAUCAAUGAAUGCAGACUGCGGUUCAAACACCUCAGAAAGUACCCAUUUAUGGGGACCAACAAGCAAUAAUGUAGACCAGAAGACUGAAAAAAACAUGCCAACAGAAAGAUGAGAGGUAGUUCUUAUAUUUGUAGAAAUAUAUUUUAGAACUAAAAUAAAAAGGUGAGUAAAUUAUUUCUGCAGGGCAAUGAAACUGCAAUUAAAACUGUUCAAAACACUG